Long non-coding RNA from Leopardus geoffroyi (Geoffroy's cat), 380 nucleotides. RefSeq lists it as uncharacterized. The transcript has 2 exons. The record is from RefSeq and is a predicted model, not a curated record. NCBI's taxonomy places the organism in Eukaryota, Metazoa, Chordata, Mammalia, Carnivora, Felidae.
GGCCCUGCUGCCGCGGCGCCCAAGUGCCUCCCCCUGGUCCCAGGUCCUCCCCUCCAACCCUCGGCCCUAGCCGGGUUCCGCCUGGGAUCCCGCGGCCCCUCCAAGGCGCGGCAUACUUUUGCAAAGUUCUCUGACUCCUGGUUUGGAAUACUGUCCUCUGAUUAGCUCAGCAUCAUUCUUCAGAUCUCUACUCAAGUGUUAUGGAAUGUGUGAUGCCUUUCUUGAUUUCCCCAGCCAGACUCCUUGUUGCUGCUUCUACUUUUUCUUACCCCUUAUACUAAGGGCCAUUAGAGCACAUAUCACUAUUUCAUUUGUUUGCAUAUCUGUAUAAGGAAAAGCCACAGUUCAGUAUUUCUCUUGAAUAGAGAAAAACUCAGUCC